AAAAGUUUUCAUGAUCUGUAGACAUGAUGUAAAAAGGUUUCAGAAUAAACUAUAGGAUUUCAUAGGAACUUUACUUGUUUGAGCAGGUAAAUUUGGAAACUAGAGUGUUUUCCUUUAAUGAAUCCAGUCUAUUUGGUGUAUUAGAUAAUUAUUAUCAUUCAGUUCAUGUCUGUUUCUUUAGUUCUAUUAGAGACCCUUUGUUCUUUCUUUGGUAAACAGUGAUCUAAAUUAUCAUAUAUGCUGCUGUAUUCUACAGUGAUUAAUUAGCAUAAGCUAUUCAAACACACCAAGGCAUUUCUAUUUUAAAAUCCAUCCUUGAAGAGAAAAUAACACUAUAAGAUAAUUGCUAGUAACAGUAUUCAUUUUCUAUAUAUCUAUUUAACUUAUUUACAAUGUGAAUUUUAAAAGUGAGUAUUUUGUUUGCACAUUUCUUUUUCCUGUUUGCAUUUUACUCUACAGUCUCCACUCACUUUUUCCAGUUCCUGCUUUAAGCCCUUGCUUACCUUCAUGUGAUCUUCGUCUGACUCUUAGGAGUUAUUUUUCUCUAGCUAAAUUCUUUUAAAAUCUAGCCAUGUUUUAGAUAUAAAUACAAAACAAAGUGAAUUUGAAUCCUUUUUUUUUUUUUGCCAAAAUAAUCCCAAUUUUAAAAAAUUUUUAUUCUAAUGGAAACCAUGUAAAUUUGCUGCUUGAUUCUGAGUACUUCACCUCCAGGAACUGUUUCUUAGUGAAUUUUUCUCUGCCUUAAAUUUGGCUAUUUUGCCCUGACUAUGACCUUUCUUAUUUCAGUCUAACUGGCUAACAAAUGCAAAACAAAUCUCAAAAGAGGACCAUUGUUUUCACUUCUAAAUAACCUUCUUCAGGGAUUUUCAAGCUAUGCUCUGGGAUCCUAAGAGUCUUUGAAGAUGCCUUCCUGGGAGUGGGGUUAGAGUAGGUGGGACGCUUGGGCCUUCUGCCAAACCUCAGCUUCACUUUAUCCUGCUAUGUUUUCAGGGCCCAGUAAUUACAAAAAAAAAAACUUUUUUAAACCAGCAACUUAAUUUAAAGACAUUCAUGAAUAAUUCAUACUAUUAGUAAUUAAUGAUAGUAACAGUAGCUUUUGUUUAUAGAGGUUUGUCAUGUGCCAGACUCUCCAAGUAUUUUCUAACGUUAAUCUAUUAAUCCUUAAAACAACCCUAUAAGAUUAAGCAUUUUUGCUAUUCCUAUUUUACAAAAGAGGAAACUGAGAUUUAAGGGUAUCAAAUAACUUUCCCAAGGAACCACAGCUGCUAAGUGACUCUGACUCAAAUCUGGGUGUGCCAGUUAACAUCUUUGUUUAAGUCAAGAGUGGCAAAUACUAGGCAAGUGUGCUCCCACCCUGUGCUCCCACCCCUGAGGCAGACAGAGCUAAUAGCAGAAAACAGUGUUUCUUACUGAUCACCAACACAGCCUUAGAAUCCUUCUCCACAAGGUACUAUGGGCAGUCACUCCUAACCCAUUGGUGUUGGCCAUCUUCUUACCCUACGUUAAGGUACUGGUUAUAGAAAAACACCAAAUUACCUUUGAUCCUAGAUGAAACUAUUUGAUGAACAAAAAUCUGUAAUGGUACCAUCCUCAUUCUUGCUAACUUCUAAUAGAGGCUGUUUGUAUUUGUAUCUUGUAUAAAUUCCUAAGUUAGUUAUAAACACUAUAUAACCCUCAACAUCAGGAUAGUUAAGGUUUUUUAAGCUCCUCUUUGCCUGCCUGUGGGAACAAAGACCUAAAGCAAUUUAUAUUCUUAACCUAAUAUUUUAGAUGUGAGGUGGAGGUGGUGAGGGAGAGGGUGGAGAACUUACAAUUGAGGUAAGUCUGCCAGUUUCCAUAUUGUAGAAUGGAGAAUUCAGUGGUUUGAAUAACUUUCACUAUUUCCACUACCAGCACGCCCUGCCCAGGAAUGGCAGAGCCAUAGGAUUGGGUGAAUGCCCAAACAUUUAUAAAAGGAACACCCACGCCCAACCCCCAGCUGAUUUUUCAGUUGUUCUUGCCAGGAGGUAACCAGUAGUUCCUGUGCUGUGCCCAUUCUUACCAGAGAAAGCUAGGUGCAAUCUAACUUUUUCCUUUUAGGUCCAAGACUUUUAAAAUGACUCAUAGUAGUUUCUGCUCAAGACACAUCAAAAGAGAUCCAAGACUAUAUUUAGGAACUUGCUAUGAAAUUACCUGUCAGUUGCAACCAAUUUUUCCAAUACAGUAUAUAUAUAUAGUCAGUAGCAAGUAAUUUAUAAUUUUCAAUACACAAAAAUAACUUGUCAUUUUUUGUUGUUAACUGGUAUCAAAAUCUAGAUUUCCUUAAAUGGAUGGACAUCCCUACAGUGAAAUUAUAUAACAUUUGUUUAGCAUACACAUUAGUGUACUGGAAUGACCUUCAUGUGAUCCAUUAUCAUGGAACCCAUUAACUCCUUGUUCAUAAGAAUGUUUGAAUAUGUCUUAAAAAUGUUCUCUAUUUGAAUAAAGUUUCUUCCU
This 2475-nucleotide long non-coding RNA is filed under the name Bos taurus (domestic cattle). RNAcentral's name for it is "long non-coding RNA NONBTAT028133". The record is from RNAcentral. Lineage: Eukaryota; Metazoa; Chordata; Mammalia; Artiodactyla; Bovidae.